This 1805-nucleotide unclassified non-coding RNA is filed under the name Hevea brasiliensis (rubber tree). Lineage: Eukaryota; Viridiplantae; Streptophyta; Magnoliopsida; Malpighiales; Euphorbiaceae. The record is from RNAcentral.
GAUUGAUUUCCUGAAAACUUCAUAUGGGGAUUGUUCAGAUAUCCUUCUUAUGGAGGAAGACAUGAAUUUCAAUCUACGAGCAGCUUCACUAUUAGUAAGUGAUGUCCACUUCCUAAAUGUCCGAAUAAUGAGUGAGCCAAUAGGCAUGGGUAUUCUGUUUUAGAUGCUACUAAAAAAAUGAUUUUAUGAUUUUUCAUUUUAAUAAUAUGUUCAAUAUGUUAUUUUGAGCCAUUCAAAAGAGGAAAAUCAUUUAUAAUUUUUCAUUUUAGUUUUUAAACUAGUAAUUGAAUUGUUACAAAGCAUUAAGAAUAAUAUGAUAUUUGUUAAUAUUCUAUUCUCAUUGUGAUCUAUUGACAUGGGUUGCUCAGCAUUAAAAGGAAAUAUAAAAUAAAAUUUCAGUAAAAAGAAGGCAAUGAACUGUGUGUAUUAUUCUUCUAGAGAACCUUUUCCCAAGUCCAAUUUUUCUUGUUUUCUUUUGCAUACAGGAAGUGAAGCAGGGAGGAAGCUAUCUACUUGUAGCAACAGAUAUAGCUGCCAGAGGCGUUGACCUUCCAGAAACAACUCACAUAUACAAUUUUGAUCUUCCGAGAACUGCUGUAGAUUAUCUUCAUCGUGCUGGAAGAACAGGUAGGAAACCUUUUUCAGAUGAAGAAUGCUAUGUUACCAAUAUUAUUUUGCCAGAGGAGCAUUUUGUUCUGCAAAGAUAUGAAAAUGAACUGAUGUUUAAAUGUGAAGAGCUUAUCUUAUAGUUCCAUUGUUGAUUCAAUCUGUAUCUUAGAAAGUCUUGCUUUGUACUGUAUUUGAUGAAACGCAUCAAGAUAAGCUAAAAGCUCUUAAGGGAAAAACCUUGCUAGAAAAUAUAUUGUGAUUUUUGAGGCCAGAUAGGGUUCCAGACAUAGGAACCCCAAACCAUUGGGCGUUAAAAUAUAAAAGGACAACAACAACAAGAAAAGAAAGAAAAAGAAGGGGGAAAAUAAGGUCGGUGGUUGCAUAAUGUCAUUGUUUCCAUCUCAAGAAAGAUAAUCCAUCGAGCAUCUUUGAUCGACAAAAAUAAAAUGGGAAAAUUCCUUUACGACUGAGAUUCGAAAAUCAUGAUUAAAACUGUUGUGAUUAGUAUCUUUAUGGGUUCAUAUCUCAUACUUAUUUUCUUGGUUUCCAACCUGAUCAACAUAAAAGAAAAAUAAAUUAAUUAUAUUACAAAACCAUCUUCAAUAACGGAGUUUUUUAAUAUGACUGUAACACCAGAUCGAAUGUAAAAUCCUUGUGAAGAUCUAUCAGCCUCUUGUACGCCCUCUGAGUUAGCAAUCACAACGUUCUUCCCGAUUCUGGCAUUCUUGUCAAUGAUGCAUUCCCUUAUUCUUGUAUUUUCUCCUAUUCCAACGGGUACUCUUCCUUCAGAGAGCAGUGCUGCUACUUCAGCAUCAGUUUCAUAGAAGUCAGCACCAAGCAUCACUGUGUCCUUUAAGUGGACAUUAGAGUUUAUUCGAGAUCUGAUGCCAACAACACUAUGUUCUAUGAAGCAGUUGGUUAAGAAACUUCCAUGAGAUAUGAUUGAAUCAAUGAUCUUGCUAUUAUCAAUCUUUGUUGGUGGCAGAUUUCUUCUCGAUGUGUACAUUGGCUUUGCUGCGUCAUAGAAACUAAACCUUGGUGGAUGCUCAGUGAGGGCAAGGUUUGCCUCAAAGAAGGAUCUGAUAGUUCCUAUGUCCUCCCAAUAAUCAUUGAAGAGAUAAGCCCUGGUAUAAAAUUCUUUUGCUGAAGCUGGUAUUAUCUCUGAUCCGAAAUCAUUUGCAGUUGGAAAACGCCAU